RNAcentral lists this ribosomal RNA (253 nucleotides) under uncultured Eubacteriales bacterium. RNAcentral's name for it is "uncultured Clostridiales bacterium partial 16S ribosomal RNA". It matches the Rfam family "Bacterial small subunit ribosomal RNA", at positions 524 to 776 of the family's 1533-position model. The record is from RNAcentral. Lineage: Bacteria; Bacillati; Bacillota; Clostridia; Eubacteriales.
UACAUAGGGAGCAAGCGUUAUCCGGAUUUAUUGGGUGUAAAGGGUGCGUAGACGGGAAAUUAAGUUAGUUGUGAAAUCCCUCGGCUUAACUGAGGAACUGCAACUAAAACUGAUUUUCUUGAGUACUGGAGAGGAAAGUGGAAUUCCUAGUGUAGCGGUGAAAUGCUUAGAUAUCACGAAGAACUCCGAUUGCGAAGGCAGCUCACUGGACUGCAACUGACACUGAGGCUCGAAAGUGUGGGUAUCAAACAGG